RNAcentral lists this long non-coding RNA (873 nucleotides) under Felis catus (domestic cat). RNAcentral describes it as "lncRNA (ENSFCAG00000051421.1)". Lineage: Eukaryota; Metazoa; Chordata; Mammalia; Carnivora; Felidae. The record is from RNAcentral.
UCACGGUUACCGGGGCGACAGGGGCCUCAUUUGCAUAGACCUCCUUGAUUGGCUAAGGGAGAGCAGGGUCUUUGGGAGGUGGGGCAAAAGCCUUUCCUUCUCUCCCACGGAAAGCCACGCCUUGUCCAAGCUCCGCCCGGUCCCCGCCCGCACGCCGGGCGGGGGCUGCUGACCUGGGCAGGCGCUCAGCGCCCCGCAGACUCAGUGUCAAUCCGGUCUGGAGCGCAAGUUUCGCUUUUAGAAAUUGUCAAGGUGACCAAGGGGACACUUGCGGGAAUUCUCUUUCCUUUGGCCAGUCAGUGUAAUAGAUGAGCAAAAUCUGGAGAUUCUCCCAAAUAUGUUCCAAAGGCAAGUUGGACCACGCGGACGAUGCCUGGCAGGGCAUUUGGUAGAAAACAAACGUUUUGACACGGUAACAUGCGGUGAACCCCAGGAUGAAGUGGUAGAGAGAAGGGUCCGAAGAGAGAAGAGAAGGUGUUGGAAAACGAGAUGCGAAAAUUUGAGCUACAGCUGGAGUUGCCAACGCCUUGUUGGGUGUUUGUCAUCUUCGUGGCCCUUCUCAUCCUGCCAGUUAACAUAACGAGCGCUGAAUUCCUAUUCAUUCACACGUACGUGCACACACACACACACAACACACACACACACGCUCGUACUUUAUAUAUAAAGUUUGAUGUUACAAUCUUUUCUAAAAGUCUUUGUUUUCUUUUUUAUUUAAAAAUUUUGGGGGGCGCCUGGGUGGCUCAGUCGGUUAAGCAUCCGACUUCAGCUCAGGUCAUGAUCUCACAGUCCGUGAGUUCGAGGCCCGUGUCGGGCUCUGUGCUGACAGCUCUGAGCCUGGAGCCUGUUUCAGAUUCCGUGUCUCCCUCUCUCUGA